RNAcentral lists this ribosomal RNA (496 nucleotides) under uncultured bacterium. RNAcentral describes it as "partial 16S ribosomal RNA". It matches the Rfam family "Bacterial small subunit ribosomal RNA", at positions 28 to 506 of the family's 1533-position model. The record is from RNAcentral.
GAUGAACGCUGGCGGCGUGCCUAAUACAUGCAAGUCGAGCGAACAGACGAGGAGCUUGCUCCUCUGACGUUAGCGGCGGACGGGUGAGUAACACGUGGAUAACCUACCUAUAAGACUGGGAUAACUUCGGGAAACCGGAGCUAAUACCGGAUAAUAUAUUGAACCGCAUGGUUCAAUAGUGAAAGACGGUUUUGCUGUCACUUAUAGAUGGAUCCGCGCCGCAUUAGCUAGUUGGUAAGGUAACGGCUUACCAAGGCAACGAUGCGUAGCCGACCUGAGAGGGUGAUCGGCCACACUGGAACUGAGACACGGUCCAGACUCCUACGGGAGGCAGCAGUAGGGAAUCUUCCGCAAUGGGCGAAAGCCUGACGGAGCAACGCCGCGUGAGUGAUGAAGGUCUUCGGAUCGUAAAACUCUGUUAUUAGGGAAGAACAAAUGUGUAAGUAACUAUGCACGUCUUGACGGUACCUAAUCAGAAAGCCACGGCUAACUACGC